Molecule: non-coding RNA, 56 nt
Organism: Phenylobacterium sp.
Lineage: Bacteria; Pseudomonadati; Pseudomonadota; Alphaproteobacteria; Caulobacterales; Caulobacteraceae
Source: Rfam
CAGGCGGACCGGGCCCCUCUGGCGAUCCCUCGUGAUCGUGAUGUCGGACCGCAUCG